Molecule: ribosomal RNA, 327 nt
Filed under: uncultured eukaryote
Lineage: Eukaryota
Description: partial 18S ribosomal RNA
Rfam family: Eukaryotic small subunit ribosomal RNA
Source: RNAcentral
CCCUUAGAUGUUCUCGGCCGCACACGCGCUACACUGAAAGAGGCAACGUGUUUGCCUGAUUCGAAAGAAUUGGGUAACCCCCUAAUCUCUUUCGUGCUGGGGAUUGAGGUUUGCAAUUAUCCUUCAUGAACGAGGAAUUCCCAGUAAGUGCGAGUCAUUAUCUCGCGCUGACUACGUCCCUGCCCUUUGUACACACCGCCCGUCGCUACUACCGAUUGAAUGAUUUAGUGAGGACUUCGGACUGAGUCCAAUGCAGCUUUCGGGCUGCGUUGGUAUUUCGGAAAGAUGUCCAAACUGUAUCAUUUAGAGGAAGUAAAAGUCGUAACA